RNAcentral lists this ribosomal RNA (274 nucleotides) under uncultured bacterium. RNAcentral's name for it is "partial 16S ribosomal RNA". It matches the Rfam family "Bacterial small subunit ribosomal RNA", at positions 523 to 796 of the family's 1533-position model. The record is from RNAcentral.
AUACGGAGGGUGCAAGCGUUGUUCGGAAUAACUGGGCGUAAAGCGCACGUAGGCGGAAUGUUAAGUUAGAGGUGAAAUCCCAGGGCUCAACCCUGGAACGGCCUUUAAUACUGGCAAUCUAGAGACCGAGAGAGGUGGGUGGAAUUCCGAGUGUAGAGGUGAAAUUCGUAGAUAUUCGGAGGAACACCAGUGGCGAAGGCGGCUCACUGGCUCGGUACUGACGCUGAGGUGCGAAAGCGUGGGGAGCAAACAGGAUUAGAAACCCGAGUAGUCC